Molecule: ribosomal RNA, 427 nt
Filed under: uncultured bacterium
Lineage: Bacteria
Description: partial 16S ribosomal RNA
Rfam family: Bacterial small subunit ribosomal RNA
Source: RNAcentral
UGGGGAAUUUUGGACAAUGGGCGCAAGCCUGAUCCAGCCAUGCCGCGUGUCUGAAGAAGGCCUUCGGGUUGUAAAGGACUUUUGUCAGGGAAGAAAAGGGCGGGGUUAAUACCCCUGUCUGAUGACGGUACCUGAAGAAUAAGCACCGGCUAACUACGUGCCAGCAGCCGCGGUAAUACGUAGGGUGCGAGCGUUAAUCGGAAUUACUGGGCGUAAAGCGGGCGCAGACGGUUACUUAAGCAGGAUGUGAAAUCCCCGGGCUCAACCUGGGAACUGCGUUCUGAACUGGGUGACUAGAGUGUGUCAGAGGGAGGUAGGAUUCCACGUGUAGCAGUGAAAUGCGUAGAGAUGUGGAGGAAUACCGAUGGCGAAGGCAGCCUCCUGGGAUAACACUGACGUUCAUGCCCGAAAGCGUGGGUAGCAAACA